UACGUAGGGUGCAAGCGUUAAUCGGAAUUACUGGGCGUAAAGCGUGCGCAGGCGGCUUUGCAAGACAGAUGUGAAAUCCCCGGGCUUAACCUGGGAACUGCAUUUGUGACUGCAUGGCUGGAGUGCGGCAGAGGGGGAUGGAAUUCCGCGCGUAGCAGUGAAAUGCGUAGAUAUGCGGAGGAACACCGAUGGCGAAGGCAAUCCCCUGGGCCUGCACUGACGCUCAUGCACGAAAGCGUGGGGAGCAAACAGG
This 253-nucleotide ribosomal RNA is filed under the name uncultured bacterium. RNAcentral's name for it is "partial 16S ribosomal RNA". It matches the Rfam family "Bacterial small subunit ribosomal RNA", at positions 524 to 776 of the family's 1533-position model. The record is from RNAcentral.